UAGUCUAGUUGGUUAGGAUACUCGGCUCUCACCCGAGAGACUCGGGUUCAAUUCCUGG
Molecule: transfer RNA, 58 nt
Organism: Ipomoea nil (Japanese morning glory)
Lineage: Eukaryota; Viridiplantae; Streptophyta; Magnoliopsida; Solanales; Convolvulaceae
Rfam family: tRNA
About the family: Transfer RNA (tRNA) molecules are approximately 80 nucleotides in length. Their secondary structure includes four short double-helical elements and three loops (D, anti-codon, and T loops).
Source: Rfam